RNAcentral lists this ribosomal RNA (464 nucleotides) under uncultured bacterium. RNAcentral describes it as "partial 16S ribosomal RNA". It matches the Rfam family "Bacterial small subunit ribosomal RNA", at positions 28 to 507 of the family's 1533-position model. The record is from RNAcentral.
GACGAACGCUGGCGGCGUGCUUAACACAUGCAAGUCGAACGGAAAGGCCCAGCUUGCUGGGUGCUCGAGUGGUGAACGGGUGAGUAACACGUGGGUGAUCUGCCCCUAACUUCGGGAUAAGCUUGGGAAACUGGGUCUAAUACCGGAUAGGACAAUCGUUUAGUGUCGGUUGUGGAAAGUUUUUUCGGUUAGGGAUGAGCCCGCGGCCUAUCAGCUUGUUGGUGGGGUAAUGGCCUACCAAGGCGUCGACGGGUAGCCGGCCUGAGAGGGUGGACGGCCACAUUGGGACUGAGAUACGGCCCAGACUCCUACGGGAGGCAGCAGUGGGGAAUAUUGCACAAUGGGCGCAAGCCUGAUGCAGCGACGCCGCGUGGGGGAUGACGGCCUUCGGGUUGUAAACCUCUUUCGACAGGGACGAAGCUUUGGUGACGGUACCUGUAUAAGAAGCACCGGCUAACUACGUG